UACGUAGGGUGCGAGCGUUAUCCGGAAUUAUUGGGCGUAAAGAGCGCGCAGGUGGUUGAUUAAGUCUGAUGUGAAAGCCCACGGCUUAACCGUGGAGGGUCAUUGGAAACUGGUCGACUUGAGUGCAGAAGAGGGAAGUGGAAUUCCAUGUGUAGCGGUGAAAUGCGUAGAGAUAUGGAGGAACACAAGUGGCGAAGGCGGCUUCCUGGUCUGUAACUGACACUGAGGCGCGAAAGCGUGGGGAGCAAACAGGAUUAGAUA
RNAcentral lists this ribosomal RNA (261 nucleotides) under uncultured prokaryote. RNAcentral describes it as "partial 16S ribosomal RNA". It matches the Rfam family "Bacterial small subunit ribosomal RNA", at positions 524 to 784 of the family's 1533-position model. The record is from RNAcentral.